UUCAACUCCCAACCCAAUGUGAACGUUACCAAACUGUUGCCUCGGCGGGAUCUCUGCCCCGGGUGCGUCGCAGCCCCGGACCAAGGCGCCCGCCGGAGGACCAACCAAAACUCUUAUUGUAUACCCCCUCGCGGGUUUUUUUUAUAAUCUGAGCCUUCUCGGCGCCUCUCGUAGGCGUUUCGAAAAUGAAUCAAAACUUUCAACAACGGAUCUCUUGGUUCUGGCAUCGAUGAAGAACGCAGCGAAAUGCGAUAAGUAAUGUGAAUUGCAGAAUUCAGUGAAUCAUCGAAUCUUUGAACGCACAUUGCGCCCGCCAGUAUUCUGGCGGGCAUGCCUGUCCGAGCGUCAUUUCAACCCUCGAACCCCUCCGGGGGGUCGGCGUUGGGGAUCGGCCCUGCCUUGGCGGUGGCCGUCUCCGAAAUACAGUGGCGGUCUCGCCGCAGCCUCUCCUGCGCAGUAGUUUGCACACUCGCAUCGGGAGCGCGGCGCGUCCACAGCCGUUAAACACCCAACUUCUGAAAUGUUGACCUCGGAUCAGGUAGGAAUACCCGCUGAACUUAAGCAUAUCAAUAAGCGGAGGAA
Molecule: ribosomal RNA, 582 nt
Filed under: Trichoderma harzianum
Lineage: Eukaryota; Fungi; Ascomycota; Sordariomycetes; Hypocreales; Hypocreaceae
Description: eukaryotic LSU rRNA
Rfam family: 5.8S ribosomal RNA (bases 195-348)
Source: RNAcentral